GACGAACGCUGGCGGCGUGCUUAACACAUGCAAGUCGAACGGAAAGGCCCUGCUUUUGUGGGGUGCUCGAGUGGCGAACGGGUGAGUAACACGUGAGUAACCUGCCCUUGACUUUGGGAUAACUUCAGGAAACUGGGGCUAAUACCGGAUAGGAGCUCCUGCUGCAUGGUGGGGGUUGGAAAGUUUCGGCGGUUGGGGAUGGACUCGCGGCUUAUCAGCUUGUUGGUGGGGUAGUGGCUUACCAAGGCUUUGACGGGUAGCCGGCCUGAGAGGGUGACCGGCGACAUUGGGACUACGGUACGGACCAGACUGCUACGGGAGGCAGCAGUGGAGAAUAUUGCACAAUGGGCGGAAGCCUGAUGCAGCAACGCCGCGUGCGUGAUAACGGGCUUCGGGUUGUAAACAGCUUUCUCCUGUGACGAAGCGUGAGUGACGGUAAUGAGUAAAGAAGCACCGGCUAACUACGUG
This 468-nucleotide ribosomal RNA is filed under the name uncultured bacterium. Its description in RNAcentral is "partial 16S ribosomal RNA". It matches the Rfam family "Bacterial small subunit ribosomal RNA", at positions 28 to 507 of the family's 1533-position model. The record is from RNAcentral.